CUGCAGCUAUCGAAAGAUGGCGGGUCUUUGAAAAUCGUGUACAUGGGGCAUCGAAGAUGGCUCGAGAAGGAUGGCCCAUGGAGAAAGCGUGGAGAUCUAUUCAAUGGUAAGGCUGAGCAUCGAGGUCCUCCACAUAAGCGUAGCGGUGCAGAAAUAUAUGAGUUAUUGAAGAACUGGGAAGAGUGCCCCUCGCCGGGAAAGACGAAGAAAAAGGCGCCAGAGCCCCUGCUGAAGAUAUGGAAGACGAGAUCUGUUUUCUGGGACUUGGAAUACUGGCCCAUA
RNAcentral lists this ribosomal RNA (282 nucleotides) under Triticum aestivum (bread wheat). Its description in RNAcentral is "partial small subunit ribosomal RNA". The record is from RNAcentral. Lineage: Eukaryota; Viridiplantae; Streptophyta; Magnoliopsida; Poales; Poaceae.